AUGUCCAACGGAAGCACUCCCGACCCACUCCACCCCUCCACCGGAGGCGUCAAAUACGUUCCCAGCGUCUUCCCCAGCGGAGAGUCCGACGACGAUGAGUUCCCCGCAUACGGAGAGUUCUCGCUGAGGCUGAGACCGCGCCGCAAUCUCCGCUACGGUGGCGUCGACGAAGAGAGCCGUCCUUCCUCCCCCGCCUUGCUCCCGCAUAGCAGGCCCAGCUGCUCCGUCCUCCGGGGGUCUCGGCUGCACACAGAAUCUGUCUGUCAUCGCUCCUCCGACUCCCUCGAGGCUCCCUUGGUUAACCUGAAGCAGCAGAGGCGUCGCCCUUUGGCCUCCAGUGCUGCUGCCCCCGCCUCCGGUGGAGUUGCUCCGGCGCACUUCGUGACCCCGGCCGCAGGAACGGCGAGCCCGGUCGCCUUCUCGACCUCUCCGUCGCCGAUCGAUUUGACAGCCGCAGCCGAUGCUCCCGGCGGUCGUACCAGCGGAUCCGUGUACAGGCCGCCCGUUGUGAAGACCCGCACCACAUUGAACAGUUCUGCCGGAGGCCGGCGCGGUUCUCUCGUGGGCGCCGCGCCCAAGGCAGCUCCGACUCCGAAGGAGACGGCUUUGAGCACGUACGGCCGGGAUAUGACGGUGGUGGCUGGCAUGACUGAUCCGGUGAUCGGCCGCGACGACGAGAUCGAUCGUGUCGUCUGCAUCCUGUGCCGCCGGACCAAGAACAGCGCCCUGCUGGUCGGCGCACCGGGAGUCGGCAAGACGGCCAUUGCCGAGGGGCUCGCUCGGCGCAUCGCAGGUGGGAUGGUGCCCGCCGCUCUGGCCGGGGCGCGCGUGGUGGAGGUCGACCUUGGGGCGAUGGUGGCAGGGACCCAGUACCGCGGCAUGUUCGAGCAACGCCUCAAGGAUGUGAUCAAGGAAGCGGAGGAUGCGGACGGCCAGGUAGUUCUGUUCAUUGACGAGGUGCACAUGCUUGUCGGCUCCGGGAAGACCAAGGGCGGCAGCAUGGACGGCGCCAACCUGCUGAAGCCGGCAUUGGCCCGCGGUCGUAUCCGAUGCGUGGGCGCUACGACUUUCGACGAGUACCGCAAGUACAUUGAAAAAGACGCCGCACUGGAGCGACGGUUCCAGAAGGUGCAUGUGGAGGAGCCAAGCACGCAGGCAACCAUUUGUAUUCUGCGGGGGCUAAAGCAGCGGUAUGAAGAGCACCAUGGCCUGAAGAUUCAGGAUGCUGCUCUUGUUGCUGCUGCACAGCUUGCUGGCCGCUAUAUAACUGGUCGUCAAUUUCCUGAUAAGGCAAUUGAUCUGAUUGACGAGGCAUGUUCCACCACAAGGAUGCAGAUUGAUAGCCAAAGACAAUGGAGCGCAACACAAAGUACCUCCACAAGAGCAGUGCGGGAAGGAGUUCUUGGCCCAGAUCAUGUUGCGCAAGUUGUGAGUCGAUGGACAGGAAUUCCCGUCGCCACACUUGAUGAAGAGGAGAAGGAUAAGUUGAUCCACCUUGCUAACAGAUUGCAUGAGCGAGUCGUUGCUGGUCUUGAUCAAUCUGGCCAACCGAUAGGAUCUUUCCUCUUUCUAGGACCGACUGGUGUGGGAAAGACCGAGCUCGCAAAAGCUCUUGCUGAGCAACUAUUCAAUACUGAGAAGAUGUUGGUUCGCUUUGACAUGUCUAAGUACGUUAAUAGUGGAUCUGUGUUGCGCCUCAUUGGAGCACCUCCGAGUUAUCAUGGUCAUGAAGAUGGUGGGCAACUGACUGAGAAAAUCAGGAGGCGCCCAUACAGUGUUAUACUCUUUGAUGAGGUGGAGAAGGCAGAUCCGUCAGUGUUUAAUGUUUUUCUUCAGCUCCUUGAUGAUGGUAUGUUGACUGAUGGCAAGGGACGGACCGUGGAUUUCAAGAAUACCAUCAUCAUUAUGACAUCAAAUAUGGGAGCAGAGCACCUAACAGCAGGAAUGAAUGGAGAAACAACAAUGGAAGCAGCACACGGUCUUGUUAUGGAACAGGUUCAGAAAUGCUUCAAGCCCGAGCUUCUCAACAGAUUGAGUGAGGUGGUGAUAUUUGAACCUCUUUCGCAUGACAAACUGAAGGAGGUAGUCAAAAUCCAGAUGAAGAUUAUUAUUGCCAGUGUAGCUAACAAGGGUAUCUCUCUAGUUGCAAGUGACGAUGCGCUAGAUGUCAUUCUGUCAGAAUCAUACAACCCAAUGUAUGGUGCAAGGCCCAUAAGGAGGUGGGUGCAUAAGAAUGUCAUGACAAAGCUCUCGGAGUUGCUGGUCAAAGGGGAAGUCGAUGAGGGCAGUAUGGUUUCCGUUGAUGCUACGACCGACAAGAAGGGGCUGGAAUAUCAAGUGGUGAAGAAGGUGAUAGAGGCACAGGGCAAGAAGCUAGUGAUGGAGGUUCCUAGCGACUCCUACGAUAGUGACGAUGUGGUUGAGGUCUUUCCCGUAGCGAAGAAGGCAAAGGUAGUGGGCUUUUAG
Molecule: ribosomal RNA, 2466 nt
Filed under: Triticum aestivum (bread wheat)
Lineage: Eukaryota; Viridiplantae; Streptophyta; Magnoliopsida; Poales; Poaceae
Description: partial small subunit ribosomal RNA
Source: RNAcentral